GCCUCUCGUCGCCACGUCACUAGCGCGAGGCCUGCGGGGCGGGCUGCUGGGCGCAUGCGCUGUAGAGGGCUCGCCGGCGCUUCAGAGCGUACGUCCUCUUUCUUCCGUCGGGUUCCGAGGCAGCUGGAAAGACGGCUCUGAAGGCGGACUGAGCAGGAUACCAUCGCACUCUGGGCUGGCAGAGGGCUGGGGCGGGAGGCGGCGCUGGCGGAGAUAGUAGAGCCCUGCCAAAGUCGCGGGGCUGGCGGCGCCCGCCUGGUAGCACAGUGGACGGAGGCCCGGAGGAGCGGUGGCCGUGCCUCAUUUGUGCUCCGGAGGCCAUCGACUCCCUGGGCACAGUUGCAGGCUGUCCCCACGAGGAAGCAGGUGUAGGGAAAGUGACGGGCUUGGAGCUGUGGCACUGAUGGGUGUAAAAGCAAAUCGGAUUUGGCCCUGUCGUCUACCUCCAACCUCCAGCCUGCCGUAAGAGACGUUUAAUGCAACCAAAAUCCGUGGAGUCAAAUUUCGCCAAGUCAUUGACUUGUGUUUUUAUUGUCUUUCCUUCCACUCAUGUUCGUGUUUGAGGUAUUCUGUUUGCCGGUUUUUUUGGUAUUUUUUUGUUUUAGACGAAGUCUCUGUAGUACAAGCUGGCCUGGAACUCGAGAUCCUCCUGCCUCAGCCAGGGAGCCGGUGCUAGAAUUACAGGGUCUCAUGGUGCAGUUCAGUCUGAUCUUGAACUAUGCAACCCAGGCUGAUCUCAAACUCAUAGCAAUCCUGCCUCAGUCUCCCAAAUGCUGGGAUUACUUAAGGAUGCACCAGAUGUGAUGGGGAGUGGAAUACAGUGAUUGUUUUCAAGCAGAGCCACCAGGCAUGUGUUCCUCCCCGUUCCAAGGCAAAUAAUCUAAACUUCCAAGAACAGAAAAAUGCUUUCCUUUCCUUGAGGAAUCCCAUCCUUGAGCUGCAAGGAUGGACUUCAGAAAGAAGGAACACAAAGGAUAGGACAAAUUAGUGAAGUGAGCCAGGGAGAUUUUUUUCCUUUUUUUUUUUUUUUUAGUUCUUCCAAGUGCAAACUAGAACAAGACAUGUAGGAGUCCCUCCUGAAGGAGGGACUUGGGACCAAAUCACCUCCCCGGAGAGGCUGACAGCCAGUGUUCAUUUCGUAACACUCCCCAGGCAGUGUGCGCAUAGCUCAGAAGCCUGAGCACUCGUGGCCUCCCAAACAACAGAUGCAGCCUUCCUCUUCACAGGCCCUCAGUUGUUACUGUGUUUGUUGGCCACAAAAGAGCAGCCACUAUGCAUGUUCAUGUGUGUGUGCUUAUGUGUUCAUAUGUGUCUGUGUGUGUGCCGCAGGAAAGGCCAGGAUAAGAAGUAAAAGUGAAUCAGAUAUGCUUUGGGGGCUGGAUGUACUUGAUAGCAGGAUUAGUCAUGGCCCACUGUAGGAUUACAGGGACCUCAGUCAUCUAUUAAUUCUUGUCCAAGUGAUUUCUCUGUAGAAUAACUUUAAGGCCAAUUGUACCUUGUUUUGAAGACAUAUCACAUAGAUUCAGUUUUUCCCAGCAGCUCUUCCCACUUGUGACCCUCCUUGGCACUUUGAGAUGUGCUUGUUCCCCACAGGCAAAGAGUCCAUCCCUCUAUUGCAGCAAGUAGCCCACAGCUCUGACCACAAAGGACACAGAAAGUAUGACAUAGAGAGCAAAGGUAUGCACCACAGGCCGCAUAACUACUGCUGGCCAGGCCACGUUCCUCAUUCUGGCCAUCAACCUCCACCUGCUAGCCUGGCUUCUGGCCAGCAGGGCAUAAUGACUUAUUUUUCUAUUGCUCUGUCACCCUGUCCUCUCCUUAAAACCAAAGUUACUUUGUGUGAAAGCCCAAGGGGAAAAGGAUUGGGGAAGUAAAGAGGAAACAAGAUUGGUCAUGAGUUAGUGAUUGUUGAGCCUGUGUAAUAGAUCCUUGGGGACUGAUUAUACUUGUACUAUUCUCUCUACAUAUCUAUUAGAAAUUUUCUGUAGUAAAUUUUUUUAAUUAGCUCAUAAACACAGACAAAUGUACAGUUGUUUGUUUUUAUUCAUAGCAGUUAAGUUCUAUAAAGUCACCUCAAACACUCAGUUAUUAUGGAAUGAUUGCUCCUGGGCAAAACACAUAUUCACAAUAUUUUCAUCAUCAGAUCAAUAAUGUAAACUUAUUUAUUAGCAUUUCUGCUUAAAGACACUUUAUUUAAUAUAAAUUGUUGAUUCAUUAACACUGAACUCAUGCCCAGCUGCACUGCAACCGCAGCCUGAAUAAGGCUCACCUAAUGCACUCUCUCUGGGGUACGCAGCACAACCUCUUGCCUAGACUCGGCAGACUUUUUGCACUGUGCGUGGGAGCCAUUUUUAACAAUUAAAUCACCAAGAGAAAGUAUAAGGGUGGAAAAACAUGGUAGUAAAUAGGUCACAAAAAGGAAAUUCAUACUGGGCAUAGCGAUUUGUGACUGUAGUCCCAGCACUCUCGGAAGCUGAGCCAAAAGGAUCACAAGUUCAAGCCCAGCCUGGUCCAUUUAGCAAGGCCUUAUCUCAAAAUAAAAAAAGGCUAGGGAUAUACUUCAUCGGGGAAGUCCUGGGUUAAAUUCCCCAUAGGAAAGAGAGAGGGAGAGAAAGCGAGGGAGGAGAGAGGGGAGGGGGGGAAGCAAAGAAAAUUUGUCUACAGUAUGAGAGCUAAAGCAAGUAGGCAGAGUGCUUCCUGGUUCACUUUAGCUGGGAACUCGCAGCUCCUCCAGGAAAGCGAAGUGUUUCCCAUUCUGCACAUGCAUGUGCUUAUGUCCAUGAAAGUGUGCAGUGUUGAUUUGCGAGUUGCAAAUAAAUUUUAAUAAGCAGAUAUAUUUGCAAGUAUACUAUUAGCAAAUAAUGAGGUUCAGACUGUAUUUAAAUCCACAGGCAUAGCCAUUGUCUCAUCCUAAGUGAUAACUAAGUGCUUUUUCUUGUGGUGCAGACAAUGAUACUGUUACUUUUAAAUAUUUUUACUUUUUAAUUGGCACAUGAUAAUUGGGUACAGAGUAAGAUAUAAUACAUGUAUAUAAUGUGUAAUGAUCAGAUUAGGGUAAUUGGCAUAUCAAUCACCUCAGACAAAUCAUUUCUUUGUUUUGGAAACAUUCAAAAUCCUCUUUGCUAGCUAUUUUCAAAUAAUCGAUUAACUGUUAACUAACUAUAGUUAUCCUACUAUGCUGUAAAAUAUUAGAAUUUCUUUCUCCUAUCCAACUAUACAUUGGUACAAAUUAACCGAUUUCUCCUUCUCAAGAUACUGAAUUAUUAAGCAAAAGUUUGUAUGAGUACCAUAGUUCUCUGAGUUAAAUAUAUUAGAAAGCAAUGUUGAUUGAACAAAUAUAUUAUUUGUAACCGAUUUAAAAGUAAUGACUGUACCUGUACAUUCUAUAUCUUGGUUCUUAUUUUUCCCCCAUUCCCCUGCCCUCCCUUCAACCCCUCCACCCCUCCCUGUUUACAAAGGAAAAAUUUCCAUUUUUUCCCAUUCUCAUAUUUUUCCAUCCCCCCCCCCACACACACACUUCCUUUCUCCUUCCCCUUUGGACCUUUUCUUAAUGAAUACAAAAUAAAAAAUGGAUGAUUGGGUCAUAGAAAGUUGUACUUCCUAGACUGUGAAAAAAAAUCAGACUUAAAUCUUCUGAAAUUGCAACACUUUUUAUCAGUAGUAAGUGUACUAUAAACUCAAAACCUACAUGUUAUUAAAUAAGAUCUGUGCUUUCCUAAAUUUCAC
Molecule: long non-coding RNA, 3726 nt
Organism: Heterocephalus glaber (naked mole-rat)
Lineage: Eukaryota; Metazoa; Chordata; Mammalia; Rodentia; Bathyergidae
Source: RefSeq, a predicted model, not a curated record